This is a long non-coding RNA of Epinephelus moara (kelp grouper), 1728 nucleotides long. RefSeq lists it as uncharacterized. The transcript has 3 exons. Lineage: Eukaryota; Metazoa; Chordata; Actinopteri; Perciformes; Serranidae. The record is from RefSeq and is a predicted model, not a curated record.
UUCUUAGUGAUCAAUAACAUCCAUUACUUCAAUGGAAAUAUAACCAGAGCACAUGCUACUGCAGGAGAACACUCAGGAGACAACAGUCCUUAAAGUGGUCAAAAGAAAAUGUAUAUUAAUGGCUGCUGGAUGAAUGUCAUCAGUUGGUGUUGUGUUCAGAUGCAGAAGGAGAAGAUGAAAUCAUAAUUUAAUCUUAAUGCAUUCAACAUAAAAACAAACCUCCAAUUCCAGAAACGCCCUUGCUGCUGUACCCAGUCAUGAGGUAAAAUUACUCUAAAUACCAACAAAUAAAAGACGACUUACCAAACAACCAGUGAAGGGUGAAGUGCUGUCAUCCUUAGAUUUAGGAGGAUCUUGAGGUUGUGUUUUAGGCAGUUCAUUUCUGUGAGUCAGACCCCGCACUCAGAGGUGUGAUGGCAUACCCUUCAUAGAGUGUGGGGCUGCAAUUACCUAUUUCACAUUUUGAACCAUUUCCUCUAUCCACUAUGGGGUGCUGGAGAAUGCGCUAAUGAUACAUCAUGUUUUUGUACAUCAACUAUAGACCACAGCAUGUAAAUUUCAGGUAAAUCAAAAGAUGAGUGUCUGAUAAGACGUGCUUCCUGUCGCCACUAGGUGGCGCUAUGACUAUCACGGAAUAUUGUCACAUAGAUGUGUUCAGGGUGGGACUAUUAUGAAUCAUGUAAAGUUUGGUGGACAUCCGACCAUUUACUCCAAAGACAUAGCAAUUUCGUAUCUCAUGGUGAGACAUCUAAAUUCAAUGCUCUGCAGUGGGCGUGCCCUUCAAUGUGAGAGAGAUCUUGUAAUAACUUUUGAUCACAAUUUAGUCAAGCUCACACAAACCAAGUUUGAAGUCAAUCUGAUUAAUUCUGUAGAAGUUUGUUAAAAUACAACACGUGGGAAAUGCCAAAAAUGACCAAGGAAUUCAAGAUGGCCGACUUCCUGUUGGGUUCAGGAAAUAGGUCCAUGAGGCUUUUUUGUGCAUCUGGGCAUGAUACACGUGUGUACCGAUUUUCGUGCAUGUCGGUGAAACAUGCCGCAGAGGCUGCUCCUUAAAGGGGCGAGGCCAAGCCAUUUUGCCCUGCCCACUGACGAAAGCCAUAUCACACGUAAAUUUACAUAACGACUCGUACGCACGCGCGUUUUCAAAUAUGUUAAAACCCCCAAAACUCCAAUUUACUUCUAGGAAAAAUAAUGAUAAUUCCUUUAGUUUCAAUAGGGCCUUUGCCCGCCAAUGGUCGGUGCUCGGGCGCUAGAAAUGUGAACUAUUAAGUUAGUAACCCGAGACCAGUGUUUUUUAAGGUCAGAGUCUAUUUCUGUCACAUUUAGUGAAGAGUAAUCUGCACAGACAGAUGUUUUAAUCACACAUAUAUCCUGCUAUGUAUGUGUGUUUAAUUUAUUAACCAUAUCUACAUUGAUUGAUCAGCUCCCAGUCCGUCUGUGAGCGGCAGAUUCCCCUCACUCACUAUGAUGUGCUGGCAAAUAAAAUCGUUGACCCAAUAAAUACAAACUCUUUUGAUUUCUUUCCAUGGAGCUGACAUGAAAACUAUUUAGGUUCAGUAAAGUCUGCUAUCAGUCACCCUGGUGAAGACAGAUGACCGGCCGCUGUUCUUUCAGCUCUGUGGGAGCUGCUGCUGUAUAGUGUAUUCACAUUCUGUGAUUAUUUCUCUGUGAAGUAGUUGUUAUUGUUAGAAAUGCAGCUCGCCAUUACUGCACUAGUAUCAUUCACUA